This 651-nucleotide long non-coding RNA is filed under the name Eutrema salsugineum. RNAcentral describes it as "long non-coding RNA (ESAL_LNC000586)". The record is from RNAcentral. Lineage: Eukaryota; Viridiplantae; Streptophyta; Magnoliopsida; Brassicales; Brassicaceae.
ACCCAUCUCUUGCUGCAACACGUUGUAUAAGGUGAUUUCAAGGCUAAUGGUGGGAAAACUUAAGCCGAUUCUCCCCUCUUUGAUCCUGCAUAAUCAAACGGCAUUUGUCAAAGGGAGGCUUCUUGUUGAAAAUACGGUCCUAGCGGGUGAAAUAGUGAGUGGUUACCACAAAGAAACGGGUCCCAAACGCAUAACCAUUAAGGUCGACAUUGCCAAGGCUUUCGACACUCUAUCGUGGGACUUCCUCUUCAAUUGUUUGCAGGGGAUUCUACUUCCCGAUCACUAUAUUCGAUGUCUAAAAGCAUGCGUCUGCACAACUAACUUCACCCUAGGCUACAAUGGUGCAGUUCACGGUUAUUUCAAAGGUAAAAGAGGGCUCAGACAGGGUGACCCACUCUCCCCCUACCUCUUCGUAAUAGCUAUGAACUGCCUAUCCCUUAUGCUUAACCAGGCUGCUUUGGAUGGAAAAUUUCAAUAUCACCACCAGUGUGAAGGAACCAAAUUGACUCACCUAUGCUUUGCUGAUGACCUGUUAAUAUUCAUUGAUGGCUCACUCUCCUCUGUCCAGAAUGUUCUUCAAGUCCUCCGUGAGUUUGAACUUCGAUCUGGUUUAGCAGUAAGCAUACACAAAUCUUGCUUCUUCUCGGCAGG